CUUUGGCCGUCCGAGUUGUAUUCUGGAGAAGUGCUUUCCGCGCUGGACCGUGUAUAAGUCUCUUGGAACAGAGCGUCAAUAGAAGGGUGAGAAUCCCGUCUUUGANCACGGACUNACCAGUGCNUUUGUGAUGCGCUCUCAAUGAGUCGNAGUUGUUUUGGGAAUGCAGCUCNAAAAUGGGUGGGUGAAUUCCAUCUNAAAGCUNAAAUAUUGGCGAGAGACCGAUAGCGAACAAAGUACCGUGAGGGAAAGRAUGAAAAGCACUUUGGAAAGAGAGUUUAAACAGUACGUGAAAUUGCUGAAAGGGAAACGCUUGAAGUCAGUCGCGUUAGCCGGAACUCASCCUUGCUUUCGCUUGGUGCACUUUCCGGKUUGACGGGCCAGCAUCGAUUUUUGACCGUCGGAUAAGGGCUAGAGUAAUGUGGCACCCUCCGGGUUGUGUUAUAGACUCUUGGUCGCACACGGCGGUUUGGGAUCGAGGAACGCAGCGCGCCGCAUAGGNCADGGGGUUUCGCCCACNUUUUCGCGCUUAGNGAUGCUGGCAUAAUGGCUUUAAACGACCCGUCUUGAAACACGGACCAAGGAGUCUAACAUACCUGCGAGUGUUUGGGUGGAAAACCCGAGCGCGUAAUGAAAGUGAAAGUUGAGACCUCUGUCGUGGAGGGCAUCGACGCCCGGACCUGACGUUCUCUGACGGAUCCGCGGUAGAGCAUGUAUGUUGGGACCCGAAAGA
Molecule: ribosomal RNA, 733 nt
Filed under: Amauroderma schomburgkii
Lineage: Eukaryota; Fungi; Basidiomycota; Agaricomycetes; Polyporales; Polyporaceae
Description: partial large subunit ribosomal RNA
Source: RNAcentral